This 650-nucleotide ribosomal RNA is filed under the name uncultured bacterium. RNAcentral describes it as "bacterial SSU rRNA". It matches the Rfam family "Bacterial small subunit ribosomal RNA", at positions 8 to 641 of the family's 1533-position model. The record is from RNAcentral.
AGAGUUUGAUCAUGGCUCAGGACGAACGCUGGCGGCGUGCUUAACACAUGCAAGUCAAGGAGAACGGAUCCUUCGGGAUACUAUUAAACUGGCGAACGGGUGAGUAACGCGUAGGCAACCUGCCUUGGAGAUUGGGAUAACCCCGGGAAACCGGAGCUAAUACCAAAUAAUGCAGCGGAUCCUUCGGGAUAUGUUGUUAAAGUGGGCUUCGGCUCACACUUCAAGAUGGGCCUGCGUCCGAUUAGCUUGUUGGUGAGGUAAUGGCUCACCAAGGCGAUGAUCGGUAGCUGGUCUGAGAGGAUGAUCAGCCACACUGGGAUUGAGAUACGGCCCAGACUCCUACGGGAGGCAGCAGUGGGGAAUUUUGCGCAAUGGACGAAAGUCUGACGCAGCAACGCCGCGUGAUCGAUGAAGCUUCUAGGAGUGUAAAGAUCUGUCGUGAGGGAAGAAAAAUCUGGAUGUAAAUAAUGUUCAGACGUGACGGUACCUCACAAGAAAGCACCGGCUAACUUCGUGCCAGCAGCCGCGGUAAUACGAGGGGUGCUAGCGUUGUCCGGAAUUACUGGGCGUAAAGGGUUCGUAGGCGUCUUGCCAAGUUGAUCGUUAAAGCCACCGGCUUAACCGGUGAUCUGCGAUCAAAACUGGCGAGA